This 1568-nucleotide long non-coding RNA is filed under the name Homo sapiens (human). RNAcentral describes it as "HSALNT0375141". The record is from RNAcentral. Lineage: Eukaryota; Metazoa; Chordata; Mammalia; Primates; Hominidae.
CUUCCAGAAGUUCAGUUAUUCAUUAAAACAUUUGACAGUGUUUGUUACAUAAUAAUUUUAAUCAGAAACUACAUAUUUUAUAUCCGGAGCUUUAAAAUUAUGUCUGGUCAGCUAUACUGUUGAAAAUAGAAAUUGAUUUACUUACUAUUUUAUUGUAGUUUCAUACUUUUUACAAUGGCUAGUUUUAAAAAGAGGCAACUUGCACACAAUUGAAGUGGAUCAACCCCUCUUAACCAGUUGUGGCUAUAAAGAUUGACAGCAGUGGGUGGUCAGCCUUCCUUUCAUUCUUCCAUGUACACAGAAAUGUCAUCAGGAUUCAGUUACUUCUAUGUCAACAUGGAAUUAUGUAAUCUGCUCUCAAAAUUCAAAAGACUACCAACAUGUAUUAAAAUGUCGAUCAAGAAUUCAUAUAUACAUUUCAAGAAUAUGUUGAAUUAACAGAUGAAAAAAACUCCUUAGAAAAAGUGGUCAAAUAUUUCAAGUGAAGUUUGGUGGGGAAGUAAAAUCUUUAAGAAAUUACUAUGCAUCAUUGUCAGUUAAGUGCAAUAUAAAAUGGACAUACAUAAAUGAAAAAGCCAGAAUAAAUAAAGUUGACAGAGAAAUUUAAAAGAAGCAAGAAGCCGUUUUCCACACCCAUACCCUGGUUGCACAUUGACCACACACUCCAAAAUAGGGAGGAAAACCGAGACAACACCCUGAAAGAAAACAAAACCAGAAACAGCACUUUACAAGAAAUUCUCCAGAAUCUUAUAAUACAAAGACAUUUUCUACAACUCAGAUCUCCUUUCCAGAUUAGCCUAAUUUCUUUUUAUUUCAAGAAAUGUGCUUCUGAAUUAUCAAAUAAACUCUCUCAAUCUCUGCUUCUGCCUGAAGUUGAAUGGAUGAAACAACUAAAAAUCUGAAGAUUUUAUAAGAUUUCCAUAUGCUGUAGACCACAAGGACGAAGGCAGUUGUUGUCCUACCUGGAAGCAGGCAGUGCCUUGACUCAUUUGCUCCAGACCCUGUCUCUGACAUGCUUGGCAGACAUUCUCCCCAGAUGAGUCACUCCUGAGACCUGCAUUUGAGUGGAUCUUCCAUGUCCUGCAACCCUGAUUUCCACCUCAGCCAUUCUUACCCUUAUUACCUUAUCCAUGUCAUUAUUGAACUUGCUCCCUGCUAUAGACUUUGCAUGUGUGUGGACCUCCAAAAUUCCUAUUUUGAAAUCUAAUCACUGAUAUGCAAUAGAAUUAAGUGGUGAGGACUUUUGAGAGGUGACUGGGUCAUUGAUAUGGUUUGGCAGUGUCCCAUCCAAAUCUCAUCUUGAAUUGUAACUCCCACAAUUUCCACAUGUCAUGGGAGGGACCUGGUGGCAGGUGAUUGAAUUAUGGGGGCAGCCCUUUUCCUGCACUGUUUUUGUGGUAGUGAAUGAGUCCCAUGAGAUCUGAUGGUUUUAAAAAGGGGAAUUUCCCUGCACAAGUUCUUCUCUUGUCUGCCACCAUGUGAGACGUGCCUUUCACCUUCUGCCAUGAUUGUGAGACCUCCCCAGCUACGUGGAACUGUAAGUCCAAUAAAUCACUUUCUUUUGUAAA